This 467-nucleotide ribosomal RNA is filed under the name uncultured bacterium. Its description in RNAcentral is "partial 16S ribosomal RNA". It matches the Rfam family "Bacterial small subunit ribosomal RNA", at positions 29 to 507 of the family's 1533-position model. The record is from RNAcentral.
ACGAACGCUGGCGGCGUGCUUAACACAUGCAAGUCGAACGGAAAGGCCCUGCUUUUGUGGGGUGCUCGAGUGGCGAACGGGUGAGUAACACGUGAGUAACCUGCCCUUGACUUUGGGAUAACUUCAGGAAACUGGGGCUAAUACCGGAUAGGAGCUCCUGCUGCAUGGUGGGGGUUGGAAAGUUUCGGCGGUUGGGGAUGGACUCGCGGCUUAUCAGCUUGUUGGUGGGGUAGUGGCUUACCAAGGCUUUGACGGGUAGCCGGCCUGAGAGGGUGACCGGCCACAUUGGGACUGAGAUACGGCCCAGACUCCUACGGGAGGCAGCAGUGGGGAAUAUUGCACAAUGGGCGGAAGCCUGAUGCAGCAACGCCGCGUGCGGGAUGACGGCCUUCGGGUUGUAAACCGCUUUCGCCUGUGACUAAGCGUGAGUGACGGUAAUGGGUAAAGAAGCACCGGCUAACUACGUG